UGUAACAGUGUGUGUGUGAGAGCCAUGUAAUGUCCAUGUGUGCAUGCUGACUGUGCUGCUCUGACCCCCCUCCUCCUUUCAGGGUGGAGCCUGCUGGAGUCCGAUGGUUGAGACCAGGUCUGAGGAAGUAUUCCUGUCAACUCACAAUCGACACAAACACAGUGAACACAAAGCUCCAACUGUCUGACAACAACAGGAAGGUGACACAUGUGGAGGAGGUUCAGUCAUAUCCUGAUCAUCCAGACAGAUUUGAUGUUUGUGAACAGCUGCUGUGUAGAGAUGGUCUGACUGGUCGCUGUUACUGGGAGGUCGAGUGGA
Long non-coding RNA from Haplochromis burtoni (Burton's mouthbrooder), 318 nucleotides. RefSeq lists it as uncharacterized. NCBI's taxonomy places the organism in Eukaryota, Metazoa, Chordata, Actinopteri, Cichliformes, Cichlidae. The record is from RefSeq and is a predicted model, not a curated record. The transcript has 2 exons.